This 64-nucleotide transfer RNA is filed under the name Gloydius brevicauda (short-tailed mamushi). RNAcentral's name for it is "tRNA-Phe". The record is from RNAcentral. Lineage: Eukaryota; Metazoa; Chordata; Lepidosauria; Squamata; Viperidae.
GUUGCACGUAGCUUAACCCUAAAGUAUAGCACUGAAAAUGCUAAGAUGGUAUAACCCUACAACA